This 253-nucleotide ribosomal RNA is filed under the name uncultured bacterium. Its description in RNAcentral is "partial 16S ribosomal RNA". It matches the Rfam family "Bacterial small subunit ribosomal RNA", at positions 524 to 776 of the family's 1533-position model. The record is from RNAcentral.
UACGAAGGGGGCUAGCGUUGCUCGGAAUCACUGGGCGUAAAGCGCACGUAGGCGGACUCUUAAGUCGGUGGUGAAAUCCUGGAGCUCAACUCCAGAACCGCCUUUGAUACUGAAGAUCUUGAGUUCGGGAGAGGUGAGUGGAACUGCGAGUGUAGAGGUGAAAUUCGUAGAUAUUCGCAAGAACACCAGUGGCGAAGGCGGCUCACUGGCCCGAUACUGACGCUGAGGAGCGAAAGCGUGGGGAGCGAACAGG